AUUAGUUUUAGUCUAGUUUUAGUCACAUUUAAGAGCCAUAUUAAACUCCUUUUCUUCCCUUCUCAGGCCCAGGGACCCCCUGUGUUGUGUCUACAGCUGCAUAAUAGUCUAGCUUGCAGUACUAGGUUGUUAUUUUAACAAAUAGCAAAUCAUUUAUUUGCAAGGCAAUUUAACAAAUUGGCAAACAACUUCAUGAGGACCAGGGACCUAAACGCAACACUUUGUUGUCUUUGUCUGUUUACUUGCAACGCUUUUGACACUUCAUGGUCCUUUAUUGUUUCCACUGUCCCAACAAAAGAGCCCUUAACGUCCUACAAUCGCUGCAAUACAUUAUUUUCUUGGCUUCAGAACCUGCAAUGAGUUUAUUACGUUAGAAGCGUCUCAUCCAGCCGAGGAAACGCUGCCUGCCGUCGCCAGAGAACAGAGCAGAAAGGUCCGACAGUCUUUAAACGUGUCUUCGUGUUUCUGUGAAGCAGCGGCUUCAGCCUGCUGACAGUCAGCUAACCAGAGACAGCCGAGCUAAACUAACGAAGCCACAUUCAAACUCGCCGAAGCUAAAAUAGUCGUUGCGGUCCGUAGUCGGUGCACAAGGAUGACGUCAUCAUAACGCGUUAAUGUCCGCCGUACUUUGCCGGUCUGUUGUCUGUCAGCUCCGUGUGCGAAUUUAGGGGGAAAAGUAUCGUGACUUCGUCAACCACCAACAUGUUCGUCUCGUCUCGUUAACGAAAGUUAGAAUAGAUUUAGUCAUAGUUUUUUAUUUUUUAAGAUUGUUUUCGUCUUGUCUUAGUCUCGUCUCAGUCAUGGAAAAAAGGUUCGUUAACAAAAAAAAUUCGGCAUAGUUUUCGUCGACGAAAUGAACACUGGAGGUCUGGAAUCCCCGGGCCAGCCUGCUGCCUCUGCAACUCAGAGGUAGAAGAAGAUAAGGUCAAGUUCAGGGUCAAAGGUGGUUCCUACAAGUUGGUAAAAUAGCGUUGUGCGUCUCUGUGUGUGUGUGUGUGUGUGUGUGUGUGUGUGUGUGUGUGUGUGAGAGAUAUCUGGGCAGCUAGGAAAUCAGUGUGUAAUCGGUUUCUCACUCCACUAUCAGCUGUAUACGUGGAGGUUAAUGGAGUUAUCAAGAAAGAUACGGAUAUCAAAUUAAUUCACUUUGCCUUCGCGUCUCCAAAACACAGACACACACACAUACGUAGCCUUCUCAUUAUUCACUUACCCUGUUACCGUAGAUCAAAGAAAUAUUACAUUAUUGUUUCACUUUCCAAAGUAUCUUAAUGUUGCAACGAUUUGGUGUCCCAACCUCUUUGUGUAACAUCUGCAUUCUCUCUGGUGACCACCAGGGGGCGACUCCUCUGGUCCUAUAGAAGUCUAUGAGGAAAUUACUCCCUCAGAAAACAUUGUAAACAUGAUUUAUUAUUUACUAUAAAUAUUAUGUAUUCAUGUCAUAUCUAGUCUCAAGUUCUUGAGGAUGAUGAUGAUUAUGGUGAAUUCUGAGAUAUUGACCAUAUAGCAGGAGAUGCUAUUUGGGCGGGGCUACACUCUGAUUGACAGGUCUCUACCAUGUUGUUUUGCAACGUGAUAGUUUGCUCUGUUUCAGUUUAACUUUCUAAAUGUGUCAUAUUCACGUCUAAAGGUCACCUCGAGUCCUCGGUUUCAAGGACGCACACUCAGCAGUGCGACCUCACCUUCGGUUGUAAUGCAUGCGUUGUCUUUCCUUCUAACCGGGUCGCACACACACUCAACAUCUGAUUCCCCUCCACCUCCCUCCACCUUUACACAUUCGUCAAUGCUCAAGGCUUUUAAAUGGCCGAUAGGUCACGUUGUACAAAAUGGCCGCGGCGUAGCUACGGGCCCGAUGGGGUUGUUGAUCGAUGCCGGUGACUCAGCAGUUGCUCCGCACGCUGCUCAGGUUUCUGCCCCUUCAACGUUCACUCGCUCUGUAACUUGAAAGCGUUACAAACAAUGUCAGAGGCUGCGAUUAACGCACGCAGGUUUGGAGGCUACGAAGGCCUAUUUUGUGUUUCUCCCACGUUAUUGACGGCGCUCUCUUGAGCUCUGACAGAAAUAGCUCACGUCUCCCAGACACACACAAACACACACGUACAAACAAAUCAUUUACCCUCCCUCCCUCCCCAGAUUUAUUUUUCAAUUAUUCUCCUGUCAGAACUGUUAGAUAUAAAAAACUGUUUAGGGUUCACAAAAUGCCAAACUGAACGGAAAGUUCAUUGAGUCUGGAACACUUUUGCACUUAAAUAAUCAGAGAUACACAUCGUCAUCUGUGGCCACAGCUCUCUAUUCUCCAAAUCCAGCCGAUUCCGACUGUCGACAGGAACCCCCCCCCCCCUGCGCUCCUCCAUUCAGCACUUAUCUGCGUCGCUCAGGAGCCUCUGCAAACACAGAUGAAGUGAACGCGGUUGAUCUCCACGGGACAAUUUGGGUCAUUGUGGCGGCAGGAAAUGGCGGAGGAUGAUGGAGAGCAAAGAGCAAAGCAGAUUCUAAGCGGUACAAAGAAAGAUAAAUCAAAGAGGUCGCAUCCGUGAGGGGAGACGGACCUAAAUUGAAUUUGCGGAGUGACGACCGCUCACAUGUGAACCCAUUACGGAAAGCCCGCAGUUACGGGGUAUCAAAUACCGCGGUGUCAGCAGCCGUUGGGGGAGGUAUAGGUGCACUUACAAGUCUGCGACGUGGAGCCGGAGUGUGUGAAGGCUUCAUUUGCCGCUCCUCCCUCACAGAGAAACACAAUGGAUGUGUGUUGUUGUGGUGCCGCUGAGGGAGAAGAUGGCUCAUAGGAAAACUGGUUACACUCCGACGCAGGGUGUAAUUUCUCCCCAUCUGUCACUUCCCCUCUGCUGCUGUGAUUUCUGGGUAUUUGUGAUGGUUUUCCUCCGUCUUCUACAUCCUUUUUAUCUCCCCCUGCUCCCUGUCCUCGCUGCUCCUUUGCCGCACACAAACAAUAAAGGGCCCUCUGCAGACCCUCGCAUACGGGCCCAUUUGUACAGGACACGAAUUAGAUAUUGAGCCAGAGAGAAGGGGGGGAGCGAAAGGGGGAGUACGGAGGGGUGAGGGAGGGAGUCGAGGAGCCGAGGGACAUCAGCCAAGUGUGACAGCGGAGUCGUAUUUCUUUCCCCGGCCGUCCGCUGUGGACUCUGAGCUGAAUACUGAGUGCGCCCACUGCAGAGCCCCGAGGACAGACUCCGCCUCCGGAGAGAGGAAAGGCCACCCCCCCUCCACCCCCACCCCCGCAUCGGCCCGAGGACCAGAUGAACCCGCACCGGCUCCAGAAUCUGCUCCCGAUACCAAUUAAUGAUGCAGAGGCAACGUUAGAAUUAGCAACUGAGGUGCUGUUAACGGUUUCCAUGACAACAACCAUCUCCACUUCCUCCUUCAUUCUCGUGGCUUAUCUAGGUACAAAACAACGUCAGAAUCGGGUCCGGUAGCGUGACGCCAAUGUAGAAAACGCCUCAAGACUCGCGUUCUCUCUAAUGUCCAUCAGGGGGCGACACCUCCGGAUGAUAAAAGACGUGCGCUAUACGCAAAGCCAUUCGGUUCCCCGGAGUUUAUAGUUCAUAUUAGAAAUAUAGGAGAGUUAUAAUAAAACGUGAAGGUGUAUAUAUUUAUAGUGUGUAACAAAUAUGUAGAAUAUUAAUCUGUGUGAUGAAACCGUACAUGACAGAACUGCAAAGUGUCUUCCGGUCUCCUCUCACCGGACUUUCCAGCAGCCGCAUCGCUUUGUCUUAAUUAACCAGAAAAGAGAUUUUGAGACAAACUAUAUGAGAGGAAUUCCAAAUCAUCCUGCUUGGCAACGGCAUCCCCAGAAACUGCGAUGCCCAGACUCACAGAUGCUCCCUAAUGGAACUGGCAAAACAUCCUUACCGGACAUCGGCCCGGUCCAACCAAACGAAUGAACCAAAGCUGCACUACUUCAGGGAAAUUAGUGCACGGAUGCUUGCACGAUGGCACAGAAACUACAGAUUACAUUUUAUGUUCAUGUUCUUCUACCCCAAAAUUCAGCAAUCCUUCCCCGUUUGUAUGAUUCAGUGACUAAGACACGCCGGCUUUGACCUGAACCCUCCGACUGACCUGCACGCAUGAGAACAGCUGGAAGAGAAAUAACUGAUCUUAUUCUUUACUUGAUACAAUUACCAUUGAGUUUAGUCAUUAUCUUUACUUUAAAUCACAACCUCAUGUUCCGUGAUUAUUGUGUUACGUUGUUGUGUUCUAUGCUUACGAUACAGUCGUGUUCAGAAGAAUUUAAACUGUUACUGUAUUCUGUGGUGGUGUAUUUUACUGAUCAUUGUUUUGUCUAAGAUAUUUUAGCACUUUUGGCUGUUAGAAAAAUCUCAUAUGGUAUAAUAUCUACUUGUCCGCGAGAAAUAGAAAGCACCAAUCAAAUGGCGAGCUGUGAGCACAAACAACACACAUGUUCGUGGUCAUUCGUGGGAUCAUUUUUGGGGGCGGGGCUUUGGAAAGCAGCUGGCGACACUUGGUUGCUCUCUAAAUCCAGCUUACCGCUGCUACAUUUUGAAUUUGAAAUUCUCGUACAAAAAGAGGAGGUCGUGCUUUACAUCCACAUCGCUCGUCGUUAGACGCCCAAAAUAAAAACUAAAGUUAGAUCAGAGGAAAGUAAGAAUCAACAGUGGAGGUGAUUAUGCCGUGACUCUCCCAAUGAUGAACAGACAGCAGAUGCGUCUCUCUCGUGUUCACAGGGUAAAUACCGCGGGACGCAGAAAGUUCACUGGAUUAGCGGCUCGCUCAUUCAUGGGCCGCGCUGCCGAAACCUUAUCGCUGACAGGGAUCAAGGCUUGCUGCCAGCUUAAUUGCAGAGGGAGGUCGCUGGGGGGGGAGUACAUACAAAGUUAAUUAAAAAACU
This is a long non-coding RNA of Gasterosteus aculeatus aculeatus (three-spined stickleback), 4861 nucleotides long. NCBI's taxonomy places the organism in Eukaryota, Metazoa, Chordata, Actinopteri, Perciformes, Gasterosteidae. The record is from Ensembl.